This 484-nucleotide ribosomal RNA is filed under the name uncultured bacterium. Its description in RNAcentral is "partial 16S ribosomal RNA". It matches the Rfam family "Bacterial small subunit ribosomal RNA", at positions 28 to 507 of the family's 1533-position model. The record is from RNAcentral.
AUUGAACGCUGGCGGCAUGCUUUACACAUGCAAGUCGAACGGCAGCGCGGGCUUCGGCCUGGCGGCGAGUGGCGAACGGGUGAGUAAUGCAUCGGAACGUGCCCAGUAGUGGGGGAUAGCCCGGCGAAAGCCGGAUUAAUACCGCAUACGACCUGAGGGUGAAAGCGGGGGACCGAAAGGCCUCGCGCUAUUGGAGCGGCCGAUGUCGGAUUAGCUAGUUGGUGGGGUAAAGGCUUACCAAGGCGACGAUCCGUAGCUGGUCUGAGAGGACGACCAGCCACCGUGGGACGGAGCCGCGGCCGAGACUCCUACGGGAGGCGGCAGGGGGGAUUUUUGAACAAGGGGGGCAACCUUGCCCCAGCCAUGCCGCGGGCGGGAAGAAGGCCUGCGGGUUGUAACCGGUUUUUGUCCGGGAAGAAAUCCUGUGGCCUAACACCCCGGGGGAAGGAGGGAACGGGAAAAAAAAGCACCGGCUAACUACGGG